AACGAACGCUGGCGGCAGGCCUAACACAUGCAAGUCGAGCGGGGGAGCAAUCCCUAGCGGCGGACGGGUGAGUAACGCGUGGGAACGUACCCUUUGCUUCGGAAUAGCCCCCGGGAAACUGGGAGUAAUACCGGAUGUGCCCUACGGGGGAAAGAAUUUCGGCAAAGGAUCGGCCCGCGUUGGAUUAGGUAGUUGGUGGGGUAAUGGCCUACCAAGCCGACGAUCCAUAGCUGGUUUGAGAGGAUGAUCAGCCACACUGGGACUGAGACACGGCCCAGACUCCUACGGGAGGCAGCAGUGGGGAAUCUUAGACAAUGGGCGCAAGCCUGAUCUAGCCAUGCCGCGUGAGCGAUGAAGGCCUUAGGGUUGUAAAGCUCUUUCGUGGGGGAAGAUAAUGACGGUACCCCAAGAAGAAGCCCCGGCUAACUCCGUGCCAGCAGCCGCGGUAAU
RNAcentral lists this ribosomal RNA (450 nucleotides) under uncultured bacterium. Its description in RNAcentral is "bacterial SSU rRNA". It matches the Rfam family "Bacterial small subunit ribosomal RNA", at positions 29 to 524 of the family's 1533-position model. The record is from RNAcentral.